This 478-nucleotide ribosomal RNA is filed under the name uncultured bacterium. RNAcentral's name for it is "partial 16S ribosomal RNA". It matches the Rfam family "Bacterial small subunit ribosomal RNA", at positions 28 to 507 of the family's 1533-position model. The record is from RNAcentral.
GAUUAACGCUGGCGGCGUGCAUAACACAUGCAAGUCGAACGAUGAAACUCAUUAGAUUUCUUCGGAAUGAAAAUGAAUGGAUUAGUGGCGAACGGGUGAGUAACGCGUGAGUAACCUGCCUUACACAAGGGGAUAGCCUCUGGAAACGGAGAAUAAUACCCUAUGAAACCAGACAAUCGCAUGAUAAUCUGGUCAAAAUGUUUAGUGGUGUAAGAUGGACUUGCGUCUGAUUAGCUAGUUGGUGAGAUAAAAGCUCACCAAGGCAACGAUCAGUAGCCGGCUUGAGAGAGUGUACGGCCACAUUGGGACUGAGACACGGCCCAGACUCCUACGGGAGGCAGCAGUGGGGAAUUUUGCACAAUGGGGGAAACCCUGAUGCAGCGACGCCGCGUGAUUGAGAAGGCCUUCGGGUUGUAAAAAUCUUUUGUAUAGGAAGAAAAUGACAGUACUAUACGAAUAAGGUCCGGCUAAGUACGUG